UCCGGAGGGUGCAAUCGUUGUUCGGAAUUACUGGGCGUAAAGCGCGUGUAGGCGGGUCGGUAAGUCGGUUGUGAAAGCCCCGAGCUCAACUCGGGAAUUGCGUUCGAAACUGCCGGGCUGGAGUCCCGGAGAGGGAGGCGGAAUUCCCAAUGUAGGGGUGAAAUCCGUAGAUAUUGGGAGGAAUACCGGCUGCGAAGGCGGCCUUCUGGACGGUGACUGACGCUGAGACGCGAAAGCGUGGGGAGCAAACAGG
RNAcentral lists this ribosomal RNA (253 nucleotides) under uncultured bacterium. RNAcentral describes it as "partial 16S ribosomal RNA". It matches the Rfam family "Bacterial small subunit ribosomal RNA", at positions 524 to 776 of the family's 1533-position model. The record is from RNAcentral.